CAGCCGCCGCGGGAAUACGUAGGUGGCUAGCGUUGUCCGGAAUUAUUGGGCGUAAAGCGCGCGCAGGUGGUUUAAUAAGUCUGAUGUGAAAGCCCACGGCUCAACCGUGGAGGGUCAUUGGAAACUGUUAAACUUGAGUGCAGGAGAGAAAAGUGGAAUUCCUAGUGUAGCGGUGAAAUGCGUAGAGAUUAGGAGGAACACCAGUGGCGAAGGCGGCUUUUCGGCCUGUAACUGACACUGAGGCGCGAAAGCGUGGGGAGCAAACAGGAUUAGAUACCCCAGUAGUCCCUGUCUCUUAUAC
This 301-nucleotide ribosomal RNA is filed under the name uncultured bacterium. Its description in RNAcentral is "partial 16S ribosomal RNA". It matches the Rfam family "Bacterial small subunit ribosomal RNA", at positions 509 to 807 of the family's 1533-position model. The record is from RNAcentral.